CCUACGGGUGGCUGCAGUAGGGAAUAUUGCAAAAUGGGCGAAAGCCCGAUGCAGCAACGCCGCGUGUGCGAUGAAGGCCUUCGGGUCGUAAAGCACUUUUUGAAGGGAUGAGGAAGGACAGUACCUUCAGAAUAAGUCUCGGCUAACUACGUGCCAGCAGCCGCGGUAAAACGUAGGAGGCGAGCGUUAUCCGGAUUUACUGGGCGUAAAGCGCGUGCAGGUGGUUUGGAAAGUUGGAUGUGAAAGCUCCUGGCUUAACUAGGAGAGGUCGUUCAAAACUGCCAGACUAGAGGAUGGUAGAGGGAGGUGGAAUUCCGGGUGUAGUGGUGAAAUGCGUAGAUAUCCGGAGGAACACCAGUGGCGAAAGCGGCCUCCUGGACCAAACCUGACACUCAGACGCGAAAGCUAGGGUAGCAAACGGGAUUAGAUACCCCUGUAGUC
This 441-nucleotide ribosomal RNA is filed under the name uncultured bacterium. RNAcentral describes it as "partial 16S ribosomal RNA". It matches the Rfam family "Bacterial small subunit ribosomal RNA", at positions 338 to 795 of the family's 1533-position model. The record is from RNAcentral.